GAUGAACGCUGGCGGCGUGCCUAAUACAUGCAAGUCGAGCGAACAGACGAGGAGCUUGCUCCUCUGACGUUAGCGGCGGACGGGUGAGUAACACGUGGAUAACCUACCUAUAAGACUGGGAUAACUUCGGGAAACCGGAGCUAAUACCAGAUAAUAUAUUGAACCGCAUGGUUCAAUAGUGAAAGACGGUUUUGCUGUCACUUAUAGAUGGAUCCGCGCCGCAUUAGCUAGUUGGUAAGGUAACGGCUUUCCAAGGCAACGAUGCGUAGCCGACCUGAGAGGGUGAUCGGCCACACUGGAACUGAGACACGGUCCAGACUCCUACGGGAGGCAGCAGUAGGGAAUCUUCCGCAAUGGGCGAAAGCCUGACGGAGCAACGCCGCGUGAGUGAUGAAGGUCUUCGGAUCGUAAAACUCUGUUAUUAGGGAAGAACAAAUGUGUAAGUAACUAUGCACGUCUUGACGGUACCUAAUCAGAAAGCCACGGCUAACUACGUG
This 497-nucleotide ribosomal RNA is filed under the name uncultured bacterium. Its description in RNAcentral is "partial 16S ribosomal RNA". It matches the Rfam family "Bacterial small subunit ribosomal RNA", at positions 28 to 507 of the family's 1533-position model. The record is from RNAcentral.